This 253-nucleotide ribosomal RNA is filed under the name uncultured bacterium. Its description in RNAcentral is "partial 16S ribosomal RNA". It matches the Rfam family "Bacterial small subunit ribosomal RNA", at positions 524 to 776 of the family's 1533-position model. The record is from RNAcentral.
GACGUAGGGCGCGAGCGUUGUCCGGAUUUAUUGGGCGUAAAGAGCUCGUAGGCGGCUCGUUGCGUCGGCUGUGAAAACCCGCAGCUCAACUGUGGGCUUGCAGCUGAUACGGGCGGGCUGGGAUUCGGUAGGGGAGACUGGAAUUCCUGGUGUAGCGGUGAAAUGCGCAGAUAUCGAGAGGAACACCUGCGGCGAAGGCGGGUUGCUGGGCUGACACUGACGCUGAUGCGCGAAAGCUAGGGGAGCGAACGGG